CAGCAGAAGAAGCGUUGUUAUGGUGAAACUGAACUGAGAAUAAACUUCUCUUCUUUCGGGUAAUGUUGAAUAUAAAUAUUGAAGUUUUUGUCCUGUGUUGUGAAGGUUUUGAUUGGCUAUCAUUACUGUAUAAAUAAUCAGGAGAUAAUCACUUACACACAGAUCUGUUGUAGAUGUUUAAUCCAGACUCGUUUCACAUGUUGUUUUAUUGUGUUUAUAAAAUGAGGGGUUUAUUAAAUUAUAAAUGAAAGAUGCUUUAGUACUGUGAGGGUUUUGGUUGGUUACACGCUGAGGUUCAUGGGACGUGUAGUUUAUUUUUAGGUUGUUGUUUUAAUUCAGUGUAUUUUUAUUUUUAUGUAUGGAUGAUUAGUGGGCGGGGCUUAACCACAGUCAAGAAACACUCACACACUGCAGAUGAUGGAUUUAUAAUUAAAAACGUCAAUGAAAAAUCAUAGAUUUAUAGAAACACUUUUAAAUUGUGAGAGAGAGAUAGAGUGUGAGUGAGUGACUGUGUGUCAGUCUGUGUCUGUCUGUCUGUCUGUCUGUGUGUGUGUGUUGGUUAAUACCUGGGAUUUAAUCACGACUUUCUGAUCUUUCCUGCUGUAAUGUCUGCCAUCUCUCCAUCAGUUAAGCGGUGGAGAGCACGAUGGAGGAGGAGUGUGUGGGCGGAGGAGGAGAAGCUCUCCUGCAGCUCCACCUGCUCUGUGAUCCUCCAUCUUCCUGCACAGUGUCCGUCUGGACCGAUCUGUCCAUGGCCGACAUCUCGCACCUCCACGCUGAAGUGUGUGAGCUCAGAGAGCUGGUGUCUGCGCUGGAGGAAUCGUUACGGCGACAAAAAGCCAUAAACACUCGUCAGGAGGUGCCGGGAGCUUCACCAGCGCUGUGCUCUAUGUGUAAAUCUGAUCUCAACACAGCAGAAGUGCGAGACUCGGCACAGAGUGUGUGUGGUGAGCGCGAGGAGUCCGAUGUAGACUGCGCACCACACACUCCUCUGACCAUGUGCUCGGUGAAGCUGGUGGACUGUAGGACCGUGGAGCCGAUCCCGCCCGUCACGAAUAAUGAGAAGGAGGAGGACGGGGAACCGAGCGCUAACGACGAGGACGUAAUUCCCCACACUGACAGCGACGAUGGAAAUUGGUCGCCUUCGUCAGAAAGAAAACAACUGCGUGUUAACAAACUCAAACCCCAAACGAGGAAAGACGCGGGACCCGGGACGAGCUGUAAGGACCGGGUUUCUGAAGUGAACGGAGACGUUAAGGAGACGCCUACGGAGGCCGAGGAACCGAAGAGCGACUGCGGUGUUCAAGAGAGACUGUUCAAGUGCUCGCAGUGCAACAAAAGCUACGGUACGGCGCCAAGCCUGCGGAACCACAUGAAGAGACACGCGAAGGAGCUGAGGUUCUGCUGUGACGAGUGCGGGAAGGGGUUCGUGACGUCGGCCGAGCUGAAGCUGCACACGAGUCGACACACGGGUGUCAGCGGCUUCGUGUGCGAGGUGUGCGGACAAAACCUGGCCGGCUCGUCAGGCCUCAAAGCACACAUGCUGACGCACAGCGACGAGAGACCGUUCUCCUGCCGGGAGUGCGGAAAGAUGUUCCGGACGAAGGGGAACCUCAAGGCGCACCUGAGGACGCACACCGGGGAGAAACCGUACCGCUGCUCGUACUGCGAGCGCACGUUCAGCCACGCGCCACGCGUCAAGGUUCAUGAGCGCUCGCACACCAACGAGAAGCCGUUCAAAUGCCAAACCUGCGGGAAGACCUUCUCACGCCUGGACAGUCUCCGGUCGCACGAGAGCGUCCACACCGGCCUGAAGCCGUACCAGUGCUCGCACUGCGGGAAGAGCUUCCGACAAGCCAGCCACCUGCUCUGUCACGAGAGGACACACACCGGAGAGCGGCCGUACCUGUGCUCCGACUGCGGGAAGAGCUUCUCCAGCCACGGGCACUUCCGCAGCCACCGGCGCAUCCACACUGGCGAGCGGCCCUACCAGUGCACGGCGUGUGGAAAGAGCUUCAGGAAGCAGUUCACCCUGCACCAGCACAGCAAGACGCACACCGGAGAGCGACCGUACAAGUGCACGCAGUGCGACAAGAGCUUCGCCCGGACGUGCACGCUGAAGCAGCACCAGAGAAUGCACUCGGGGGAAAAGCCGUACCAGUGUGCCAUCUGCGGAGAGAAAUUCGCCUUCCUUAGCUCGCUACACCAACACCGGAAAAAACACGGCCAAGACGCCGUAAACACGCGGUCCCACGCUGCAGGGAUCGCCUCAGGAACUUCACAGGAAACGCCGACAGCCUGUAGCCCGACAGGAAAUUAGGUGGGGAAAGGUUUGGGGCGGCCAUUUUAUGGUGACGGUUGUUAGUUUGAAGGCUGUGCAGGCGGCUCAGAGCCAUUCAGUGCAAUACGGAACUCAUUACAGCUCUACAAUCAUCCAGGCAGAAGAGUUUUUACAAGAAACCUUAAAUGUGCAUUCAGCGCCUGGAAUGUGAAGGAACAGAUCCCCAGAUGCUUCGCCACAUCCACUCGGUGAACUGUUCAAGCAACAGUUCUAUAUAUAAAGCAGCACUAUACCUCUGAACACCUGAACACCUCAAAACCGUGACAUUUAAAUGUUGAUUUCUUAUUUCAGACAAAUUCAGACUUUUCCCCGCAUGAGGUCCUCUUCCCAGUUAGCAGAACUUGUAGCAGGAACUCGAACCACUGCAACGUUUUCAUCAUUGUUGACCGAUAUUUUGUUGCAUCUCUGAGAAAUCUAUCUAACAGAUGCUAACUAUAAACAGGUUACAUGUUAUCUCAGUCAAAGAUACUAACAUCAAAGAUAGAUUUUCGUUAUUUAUUUACGACACUAAAGGAUGUUUUUUGGCGUAUUUUUGGUUUCCAGCAUAUUAUAGUGUUUAACAAGAGCUUGUACACAAAAUAUAUCAAGGUUGCAAGGUUAGAUAGCAUCUUUUCCAUCUCACCCCUCAUCUGUGCCAUGCCUGAGUGUUUCUCAGUACUACUACAUAGAACUGAUUUGGGGGCGGGUUUACAUAUGGACUGGUUUGUGAUGUCAUUAAGUAAGUACCAGGGACUUGGAAUAAUACUAAUAUCUGAGAUUUGAGGAUGACAACAAAUCCUCACUAGCUUGUCGAGUGUUAGUGAUGAACAAAAUAACUUUGGUUGUCAUGGUAACUCUGUGAUGGCUCGGCACCGCAUCCAGGGCGUCCCC
This is an RNA transcript of Ictalurus furcatus (blue catfish), 3211 nucleotides long. It is a transcript of the gene named zinc finger protein 883-like, with no coding region annotated. NCBI's taxonomy places the organism in Eukaryota, Metazoa, Chordata, Actinopteri, Siluriformes, Ictaluridae. The record is from RefSeq and is a predicted model, not a curated record. The transcript has 4 exons.